RNAcentral lists this transfer RNA (76 nucleotides) under Alphaproteobacteria bacterium MarineAlpha6_Bin5. Its description in RNAcentral is "tRNA-Asn". It matches the Rfam family "tRNA". Rfam says of the family: Transfer RNA (tRNA) molecules are approximately 80 nucleotides in length. RNAcentral also lists the same sequence under 2 other names. The record is from RNAcentral. Lineage: Bacteria; Pseudomonadati; Pseudomonadota; Alphaproteobacteria.
UCCCGGGUAGCUCAGUUGGUAGAGCGGCUGACUGUUAAUCAGCUUGUCGGGGGUUCGAGUCCCUCCCCGGGAGCCA